RNAcentral lists this ribosomal RNA (725 nucleotides) under uncultured bacterium. RNAcentral describes it as "bacterial SSU rRNA". It matches the Rfam family "Bacterial small subunit ribosomal RNA", at positions 62 to 766 of the family's 1533-position model. The record is from RNAcentral.
UCGAACGCGAAAGCCCCUUCGGGGGUAAGUAGAGUGGCGUCCGGGUGAGUAACACGUAGGUAAUCUACCUCUGGGUGGGGAAUAACGUCUCGAAAGAGACGCUAAUGCCGCAUAAUGCAGCGGCACCUAAUGGUGAAUGGUUGUUAAAGCGGGGGACCUUCGGGCCUCGCGCCUAGAGAGGAGCCUGCGGCAGAUUAGCUAGUUGGUGAGGUAAUGGCUCACCAAGGCUUCGAUCUGUAGCUGGUCUGAGAGGACGGCCAGCCACACUGGCACUGACACACGGGCCAGACUCCUACGGGAGGCAGCAGUGGGGAAUUUUGGGCAAUGGGCGAAAGCCUGACCCAGCAACGCCGCGUGAGGGAGGAAAUCCUUCGGGAUGUAAACCUCACAAGCAAGGGAAGAGCGCGCAGGGGUCAAUACCCUCUGCGUCCGACGGUACCUUGCGUAAGCCACGGCUAACUACGUGCCAGCAGCCGCGGUAAUACGUAGGUGGCAAGCGUUGUUCGGAAUUAUUGGGCGUAAAGGGCGCGUAGGCGGUUUGUUAAGUCAGCUGUGAAAGCCCGGGGCUCAACCCCGGAGGGUCAGCUGAUACUGGCAGACUAGAGUACAGAAGAGGUAACUGGAAUUCCCGGUGUAGCGGUGAAAUGCGUAGAUAUCGGGAGGAACACCUGAGGCGAAGGCGGGUUACUGGGCUGAUACCGACGCUGAUGCGCGAAAGCCAGGGG